UGGCGGGGGGCGCACCCCUCCGGGGACUGCGGGGCACGUCCAGCCCGGAGUUCCCCGGCGCCCGCGGCUCGCCCUGCCGCCGGACUCACCUGUCUGUAACCUGACCCGCCGCGCGCCCAGCCCACAGGGCCGAGGAUCAACACAGCGGUUCGCCCGGUCCUCUUCCGCGCUGGAAUGGCCCUUGGGGACACAGCAGCCUGGUAACGGAUUUCUCGGCUCAGCUCAGUCCUCUCCCCGCGCGCGGAGAGGGGGCGCAGCUCUCCUGGGUCUGAGAAGGGAAGAGAAGCGCCCUGCCGCGGGGUCCGCCCUCAAGGGGUCACCCUCUCCUGGCUCAAGCCUGUCUGGACUCCAGAUUUUCUGAGAACAAUCAACGAAGAAGAAAACAGACUUUGAUCCGGUGAAGGAAGACAUUUCUCUAGCGGCACGAGGAAGCGAGGCUUCUUUCUAGUCUAUGAGGCUGAUGGCGCAGCUUAUGGGAGAAUCAGAACGUAUUUUUAUCUACCAACAAACUGAAGAAUUUCUAGAAAUUGGUUGAGUGAAAGUAAAAUAGAGAAAACUACGAAAUCACAGAAGAGGCAGCACCCCAGGACAAGACCAAGCUACCUACUCUCAACACUCCACUUCGCAUGAGACCGACCGAGUUUUUUAUGGAUAGAGGAAGACAGAAAAAGAAAUAAAAAUAUAAAGAUCA
Long non-coding RNA from Canis lupus familiaris (dog), 691 nucleotides. RefSeq lists it as uncharacterized. The transcript is spliced from 2 exons. Lineage: Eukaryota; Metazoa; Chordata; Mammalia; Carnivora; Canidae. The record is from RefSeq and is a predicted model, not a curated record.